This 110-nucleotide ribosomal RNA is filed under the name Microbacterium ginsengisoli. The record is from RNAcentral. Lineage: Bacteria; Bacillati; Actinomycetota; Actinomycetes; Micrococcales; Microbacteriaceae.
CGGCGGCCAUAGCGAGAGGGAAACGCCCGGUCCCAUUCCGAACCCGGAAGCUAAGCCUCUCAGCGCCGAUGGUACUGCAGGGGCGACCCUGUGGGAGAGUAGGACACCGC